UGAAUUCUAACUACCUCUUUAAGAUAAAUGAUGGAAUAAUCCUCCAUCACCUAAAUGAGUAAUCUUCACUACAAUACAAUACCAACAUGUAUUUACCAAGGACUUAGUAAAGCUCCAAAUCAACCUGGAGCUCACCAAAAGUAUCAUAGUGUCGUAUGUUCCUACUGAAGAGGUCUACUAGCUGGAGUGCAUGUGCCUGCAUCAAGAAAUGCAGUGUCCCCAGCAAGGGACAUCAGUACAAAAAAAUGUAUUGAAUAUGUAAGGCAAUAUAGCAUAUGUAAUACGAGGGCUCAAAUGAAAUCAAGUAUCAACAUAUGAGUGCAUAGAUAAGCAGAGAAGACCACCUUUGCUUAUUCUUGUGAGAUCAUGUAAGUUACAUUGUUUUCUUUACUUUUGUGUACGUUAUAAUCUUUGUAGGGCAUUUUAUACAAGUGACAAGCUAAUCAGUGGUGGAAGAGGAUGACCCAUGCUAGGCAUAUUAACCCGUGGGUUGCGGUCCUCAUAAUUACACAAUUUGGGAUUGGCCCAUGCUAGGCUUUCUCCCCUGAGCUGCCACCCUUAUGUACCAGUUGGGAUCGACCCAUGCUAGCUUUCACCCUUGGGCUGCCACCUGUAAUUAUAUUGAUUUCGUCACUUAGAUUUCUUUAAUCCUUGAGAUUCAUUUUUAUCAUUUCAUAACUCUUUUGGGAUCGUUCUUUGGAUAAUCGUAACUCUUUUGAUAUGUUAUUUUGGUGGUCAUAAUAAUUUUGGAGAUAUGGAAAUUCGGACAAUUAAUAGAAUACAUGAAAAUAAUACUUCAAGGCAAUAAUAAUGACAUAAGCAGGUAACCAACUUAAGAACAUUAUUUAAGAGUUUAAUGACACAAUUGACUUCAAACAACAAAGAGGGGGGAAAUUUUGUUAGCUAUUUGGAGACAGUACGCUGCCACUAUGUUUCCUUUUCCAGGAAUAAAAUUUAUGAGAUUCACUUCAUUGGUAUUAAUCGCAAGUAUCAAAUUUCAUGCCAAAUGGUUAUAGAAUCGAAUAGACUUACAUACCUUAUCCUCAAACUUAUAUACUAUCACGAUUCAACCUCUCCUUUAUUGUUUUAAUAUACAAUUUAAGUCAUGGAAAACUAAAAUUAGCAGUUAUCACACCAUGAGCCUCGUAAAAUAGUAGCUAAAUUUGAAAGAUAAUGAUCCCAUACAACCCUUAACAUAAUGUGUAUCACCACACCGUCAUUCUCUUGUACAAAUAGAACAGCCCCAAAUAUUCUUUAUCACACAACCAACUAUUGAACUCACCAACCCCUUGAGUUCUUCAUGACAGCACACCACUAAUUCCUCACUCAAACUCUUACACAUGGAAGACAAAAAUGGAGCAGUCACCUUACCUCAAUUUUGGCAACUCCUUAUAACUUGAAUUCUUUUAGAACUUCAGCUUCCCUUCAUACUUAAACCAAAGAAGAAAGAAAGGCAUUUUAAUAACUGAGGAAGUGAGCAGUAGCUGGUAGAAAUAGUCUACAUUUGUAGUUAUAUUAGAGCAUGAAUAACAUGUUCCCCUAAUCAUUCAUUGGAGAAUUAAGCUAAAUCCAUGAGUUUUCACUUGCCUUGAUUUGCAUAUAUGAGGGUUUCUUCAUGAACCCUAGAAAACUUUAAGGCUGCUGGUUAAUCUUUAAGAGAAAAGAGAGAGAGAGAGAAAGACAGAGAGACAGCGAGAGGGAGAGAGAGAAUGUGUGUGUGUGUGAGAGAGAGAGAGAGAGAGAGAGAGUUGGAGUAAUUCUUAUUUUUAUGUGUUAAAAUGGGUGAAGGAUAUCUGCUCAUAUUGGAUAUAUAUGGAGCUUGACCAAAAAAAUAUCCUCUAGAACCUCCUUUUCUUGAGGUCCAUUUUCAGCCAGUAAUUGGUCAAGUAGGUGAUGGACCUGCUUAUGCACAUCAAGUAGCUCAAAAGAUCAAACAAGGUGAUGCACCUAGUUGCUUUCACUUGCGAUUUAUCUAUAUUGGGCCUUGGCAGAUUUUGGUACUGGACUUUCUUUUAUUUUUAUUUUCUUUUAAUAAAUUUGGGCUUCAAGUGAGACCAUUACUAUAAUUCUAAAUCUGGUCCAUCAAGCUUUGGCCCUUUAUUGUAGCUCAAGUAGGUGAUACAGCUGCUAGCUUAAUAAAUCCAAGAAAGAAGCUCAAUUAUUUUAUUAAAUUUUAUGAAUAUUACAUCCUUUUGCUUCAACUUAGAACUUAACUUUCAAAUUUAAUCUUAAUUACCACCUUACUGUCUCUAGUUUAAAUACAUCUAGCGGAGUCAACUUACAAUAAAUACAUUGAAACGUGCAUAUCACGAUACAUCACUUUCCGGCUAGUUUAACCAACACUAAUCAUGUAAGGAACAUGAUUCCUCAUCUAUACUAUAAGGCCAUCCGUAUCUCAAGAAUAGAACAAGCAUAUGCAUAAGACGGGCUAUUACAUCCUCUCCUCCUUAAACAUUCAUCCUCGAAUGUUACCAUAGUUAUCCAGCCCAAACAGAUUCAAGCCUAAGUUAGAACUACAAUUAAUCACAUAAUUCAUAUAGAUGUAUACUUACUAGUCGGCACAUAAACUAAGCAUUUUCAUCUUUCUCUUGGAUCUGAAAGAGAUGAGGAUACUUCAAUUUGAUUGCUUCUUCCGCUUCCCAUGUAACUUCUUCUACUUGUUCGUUCCUCCAUGACACUUAUGCAGAAGCUACCUCUUUAUUUCUUAACUUCCUAACUUUAUCUAGAAUAGCAAUGGGUACUUCUUCAUAAGUGAGAUCUCCCGUAACAUGUACAUCUUCAGUAGGAGUAACAGGAGAUAGGUCCCCUACGCAUUUUCGUAGCAUUGAGAUAUGAAACAACGGAUGAAAUGAUGAAAGCUCUUGUGGUAGUUCUAACUCAUAGGCUACUUGGCCGAAUUUUUGAAUAAUAUUUUAUGGACCUUAUAGCGCCGACUCAACUUUCCCUUUUUACCAAACCACAUUACCCCUUUCAUUGUAAACACCUUGAAGAACACCCAAUCCCUAUAGAAAACUCUAGUCCUCUCCUUCUAUUAUCCGCACAUGAUUUAUAUCGACUUUGAGCUGUUUCUAGCCGCUGAUGUAUUGCUUUGACUUUUUCCAUAGCUUGAUGAACAAGAUCUAUCCCAAAUAAGGCAGUUUCACUUGUUUCAAACUAGCCAAUUAGUGAUCUACACUUUCGACUAUGUAAGGCUUCAUAAGGUGCCAUUUUAAUGCUCGUAUGGUAGCUAUUGUUAUAAGCAUAUUCAAUAAGAGGUAGGUGAUCAUACCAGCUACCCUUGAAAUCUAAUAUGCAAGCUCGCAGCAUAUCCUCAAGUGUCUGAAUUGUACGUUCUGCCUGGCCAUCCAUUUAAGGGUGAAAGGUUGUAUUUAAAUUCACUUUUGUUCUCAAACUCGUUUGGAACGACUUCUAAAAAUUUGUAGUGAAGUAGGCUCCUCUAUCAUAUAUUAUAGAGAUUGGCACUCCAUGUAGUUGAACUAUCUCUUUAAUGUACAACCUCGCAUACUCUUCAACUGUAUAAGUAGUCUUCACCAGCAAGAAGUGUGCUGCUUUGGUGAGUAUGUCGACUAUUACCCAUAUGGAGUCAAACUUCUGGAAUGAGAGAGGCAAACCAGUGACAAAAUCCCUGUUGAUCAUGCCCCAUUUCCAAAUAAAAAGUUCUAUAUGCUUCAUAUAACCUCCUGGCCUCUGGUGCUCUACUUUUAAUUGUUGACAAUUUGGACACUGAGCCACCAAUUCUGCAAUGCUCCUCUUCAUGUCCCCCCACCAAUACAUUUCUCUCUAGUCAUGAUACAUUUUAGUUGACCCCGAAUAAACAGAAUAUCUUAAAUGAUGCUUCCAUCAUGAUCCUCUUUCUUAGUUCAUCUACAUUAUGUACACACAAUCUGUUUUGACAUCGAACUACUCCCUCUUGCCUUUGUCAAACCAUGUUGUUUAUUCUCCUUAAGCUGUAAAAGAAUAGGAUCAGUGCACUGCUUCUCUUUCACUUCCACUACUAAUAAGAAUUCUGCCGCAUUUUGCACAAUAACCCCUUCAUCUUACAAUUCAUGAAGGCAAACCCCCAAACUAGCUAGUUGACAUAGAUCCUUAGUUAUUCCUUGUCAAUCCACAGACUACCCAAAAGUACUUGCUAGUAUUUUACGGCUUAAAGCAUCAGCUACUACAUUUGUUUUACUGGGAUGAUACAAGAUAUCAAUGUCAUUAUCUUUUAAUAGCUCCAACCACCUUCACUGCCUGACAUUUAAGUCCUUUUGCUUAAAGAUAUAUUACAAACUCUUAUCAUUAGCGUAAAUGUCAAUAUGAACUACAUAUAAGUAGUGGCGCCAUAUCGUCAAAGCAAACACAAUUGUUGCUAGAUCUAGAUCAUGGGUUGGAUAAUUUUUCUUAUGUGGACGCAGCUGGCUUGAGACAUAAGCUAUAACUUUACUAUGAUGAGUCAAUACCCAACCUAAGCCCACUCCCGAAGCAUCAAUAUACACUGCAUAGCCUUCUGUGCCUUCUAGAAGUACCAACACAGGUGUAGAAGUUAAUUUACUCUUCAGCUCUUUGAAGCUUCUUUCACACUCAUCACUCCACUGAAACUUGGUUUCUUUGUGUGUAAGAUUUGUCAACGGUGAAGAAAUGGAAGAAAAUCCUUCAACGAACCUUCUGUAAUAACCUUCCAAUAAAAAAAAUACGGAUCUCUGUAGGUGUUGUAGGUCUUGGCCAGCUUUUCACAGCUUCUAUUUUCUGGUUAUCAACCCUUACUCCUUCCUCGGAUACAAUAUGACCUAAGAAUGCCAAAAAUUUCAACCAGAACUCACAUUUAGAGUUUACUUUGCUUAUAGUUUACGAUCACAAAGAAUUUGUAAAACCUACCACAAGUGAUUAGAAUGAUCCUCUUCCAAUCUUGAAUUCACAAACAUGUCAUCUAUGAACACUAUCACGAACACAUCUAAAAAUGGCUUGAACACCGUAUUCAUCAAAUCCACAAAAGUUGUUGGUGCAUUUGUUAGCCCGAGUGACAUGAUUAAGAACUCAAAAUGACCAUACCGUGUUCGUAAAUCUGUCUUGGGUAUAUCUUUGUCCAUGACCCUCACUUGGUGAUAAUCUGACCUCAGAUCGAUCUUUGAAAAACGCCUAGAACCUUGUAACUGUCAAACAAAUCAUUACUUCUAGGGAGGGUAUAUUUGUUCUUAAUUGUUACCUUAUUCACUAUCGGUAGUCUAUACACAUUCUUAAUGAUCCAUCUUUCUUGCGUACAAAUAAAAUUGGUGCUCCCUAUGGGGACAUACUAGGCCUUAUGAAUCCUUUUUCUAAGAAAUCUUUUAAUUGCUCCUUCAACUCCCGUAGUUUGGCCGGAGUCAUUCUAUACGGAGGAAUCGAGAUAGGUUAAGUAUCUGGAAGCACAUCAAUACCGAACUCUACUUCACGUUCUGGAGGCAAACCAUGAAGAUAUUCAGGAAACACAUCUGGAAAAUCAUUUACCCCGAAAUGGAUUGAAGGGUUGGUGACUCCACAUCUAAAUUUUUUACUCUAACCAUAUGAGAUAUGUAUCCUUUGGAAAUCAUCUUCUUUGCCUUAUGAUAAGAAAUAAAUUUACCUCUUUGCGCCCCAAUACUAUAUUUACAUUCGAGUACUACCUCUUUUGGAAACUAGAAAUGCACUAUCUUAGUUCGGCAAUCUACCGUGGCAUAAUAAUAAGCUAACCAAUCCAUAGCCAAUAUAACAUCAAAAGCUACCAUGUCUAGAUCAACAAGGUCAGCCAAUGUAUUAUGAUUACAAACAGUUACAAUACAAUUACGAUAAACAAUUCUAGCUAUAAUAGACUCACCAAUUGGUUUAGACAAUUCAAAUGGCUUCGGAAAUAAUUUUGAUGCUCUUUUGAACUUUCCAACAAUCAACGGUGUAACAUAUGAUAGUGUAGACCCCAGAUCAAUUAAUGCAUAUACAAUAUGUGAAAAGAUGGACAAUGUACCUGUAACCGCAUCUGGCGAGGCUUCUUAAUUUUGUCGAUCUCCUAGUGCAUAUGUACGAUUCUGACAUCCACUAGAGCUUGUUACUCCCCUAGUUCCGCUACCACAACCUCUAGGAAUCUGUACCCCCCUACCCAAAGACGGUGUUGAUGAGUUUGAUGCAACAACUAAUCUAGUUGGCUGUGCAACGCCACCCAUGCCCCUAUGAGGGCAGUUUCUCAUAUAUGCCUUGGUGCGCCACACCAAAAACAAACAUAUGUCCUAAACCUACAUGCACCGGAUGAUUCCUCCCACACUAUUUACAAGGCUGUCGAAGAGGCCUUGAUUGGCUCGUACUUCCCUGUUUCUAACUCUUGUAUCCUUUUGCUUUGCCUUUUACCCUCUAACUUUUUCCCAAAGGCCUGCAUCCUUGCUGUAUCCAUAUCUUUAUUCAAUGAAGCAGUGGUACAGUCUCCAACUAAAUAUGGGUCGAAUUUAUCCACAUAUCGAUGAACUCUAUCCUCCGUGGUAGCUACUACAUUAGGAGCAUAUCUUGCUAAGGAAAUGAAUUUGAGACUAUACUCUCUCACGCUCAUACCUCUUUGGUGGAGAUUUAACAACUGAUCCGCAUGGGCCUUUCAGAUCUCCAAUGGAAGAUAAUGCUCAAGGAAUGCCUUUUUGAACUCUUUCCACGUAGCUGAAGGUGCAUAUAUUCCCCUAGAUUACUUCAAAGCUUCAUAAUCUAUAUGCUGCUAGCUCAAGUGCUUUUAUACCACUAGCAUGCAUAAUAUCCAAAACUCAUUUAUCUGAUCUAUAAAGUCUUGCAUCCUACAUUAGGAUCUGACUUGGUGAGUGAUGGAGGGUCCAAGUUAAGAAAAUCAUGUAUCAGUGUUCCAGCUGCUCUAUCUACACCACUAUACGAGUUAAUAAUUGGAGUACAUUCCUCAAAUCUUGCUCGGUAGCAUUAAUAGGAUGUUCCUGAGGUUCAUCUUCCCUCCUUAGUUCUUCAGGAGAUGGAGGCGUCGGGGAAGUCUGCGAUAGAGACUCAUCUUGAGAUGCACUUUGAACAGCUUGACUUAGUGGUGGUUGGUUGGGUCCCUUUUUAGGGAGCCACAUCUACUCUCUUACCAGUAAUUUUACUCCUUCUCGUAACCAGCAUCUUUCUUAUAACAAAACAAUUUAGAAAUUAAAUAUAAUUCACCUACAACAUUGGUUCUAUCGCACUAACUAAGAAAUGAGACAAAUCUUACAUGUCCCGUAGCCUCCUGUUUAUAGAUAUGGUGCACGACACAUCCAUAGGCAAGACCCUACACAGACACAGUUUUGUAGACUCCCUAGUAUGACUUGCUCUGAAACCACUUUUGUCACGCCUCAAAAACAAUUAAGAUGGACAGACACCCGAAGCCCUAAGGUCCCGAGAGAACCAACCUGAAGUCUGUUCUUACUUUGCAUAUAACUAUAACAAUCAUGACAAGUUCAUAAAGGACACAACGAUAAAAACCACAUAAGUAGACCCAAAUAUUUAUAUACAAGACUUGGCCAUUGAGGCCACAACACCUUAAGACACAACUAUAAUACAAUACCAACAUGAAUUUACCAAGGACUCAGUAAAGCUUCAAAUCAACCUGGAGCUCACCAAAAGUUGCACAGUGUCAUAUGCUCCUACUGAGAAAGGUCUACUAGUUGGAUUACAUGUGCCUGCAGCAUGAAUGCAGCGUCCCCCGUGAGGGACGCCAGUACAAAAAAAUGUACUUAUUAUGUAAGGCAAUAUAGCAUAUGUAAUAAGAGGGCUCAAAUGAAAUCAAGUAUCAACAUAUGAGUGCAUAGAUCAGGAGAAAAGACCACUUUUGCUUACUCUUGUGAGAUCAUGUAAGUUACAUUAUUUUCUUUACUUUUCUGUAUGUUAUAAUCUUUGUAGGGCAUGUGAUACAAGUGACCAGCUAAUCAGUGGUAGAAGAGGAUGACCCAUGCUAGGUAUAUUAGCCCCUUUGAUGCAGUCCUCAUAAUUACACAAUUUGGGAUGGGUCCAUGCUAGGCUUUCGCCACUUAAAUACCACCCUUCUAUACCAAUUGGUAUCGUCCCAUGAUAGACUUUAUCCCCUAAGCUACCACCCUUAUGUACUACUUGGGAUUGACCCAUUCUAGGCUUUCGCCCCUAGGCUGCCACCCGUAAUUAUAUAGAUUUCAUCACUUAGAUUCUUUAAUCUUUGAGAUUGUUGUUUAUCACUUUGUAAAACUUUUGGGAUCGCUUUUUCGAGAAUCGUAACUCUUUUAUUAUGUUAUUUGGUGGUCAUAAUAAUUUUGAAGAUAUGGAAGUAAAGGCCAGUAAUAGAAGACAUGAAAAAAAUACUUAAAGGCAAUAACAAUGACAUAAGGAUCCAUGUAACAUAAACACAUUAUUUAAGAGCUUAAUGACACAAUUAACUUCAAACAACAAAGAGGAGGAUUCACCAGACUUGCUUUUGAUAAUACCAUUUCUAUACCAGCCCGGGGGUGAAUAAUUACACAAGUACAAGAUAGUGAACAUAUAAAGAAGUAGUUCUAUGCACUAUAGAGAGGGGGGAAAUUUUGUUAGCUAUUUGGAGACAGUACGUUGUAACUAUGUUUCCUUUUCUAGGAAUAGAUUUUAUGAGAUUCACUUCAUUGGUAUUAAUCGCAAGUAUCAGAUUUCAUAGUCUUACAUACCUUAUCCUCAUAGUGAUAUACAAUUAUGAUUCAGCCUCCCCUUUAUGGUUUUAUUCUACAAUUUAAGUCAUGGCAAAUUAAAAUUAGCAGCUAUCACACCAUGAGCCUCGAAAAACAGUAGCUAACUUUGACAGAUAAUGAGACCAUAGAUCCCUCAACAUAAUGUGUAUCACCAUACCCUCAUUCUCUAUCCAUCACAUACAUUAUACAUCAUUUCCCCAAGAUCAACCAACUUGCGCCAACAGUAAUACACAUAGAACAGCCCCAAAUAUUCUUUAUCAUACAACCAACUAUUGAACUCACCACCCCCUUUAGUUCUUCAUGACAGCACAACUCUAAUUCCUCACUCAAACUCAUACACAAGGAAGACAAAAAUGUAGCAGUCACCUUACCUCAAUUUCGGCAACUUCUCCUUAUAACUUGAAUUCUUUUAGAACUUAUGCUUCCCUUCACACUUAAACCAAAGAAGAAAGAAAGGUAUUUCAAUAACUAAGGAAUUGAGCAGUAGCUGCUUGAAAUAUUCUGCCUUUGUAGUUAUAUUAGAGCAUGUAUAACAUGUCUCCUUAUCAUCCAUGGGAGAAUUAAGCUAAAUCCAUGAGUUUUCACUUACCUUGGUUUGCAGAUAUGAGGGUUUCUUCAAGAACCCUAGAAAACUUUAAGGUUGCUG
This 9285-nucleotide long non-coding RNA is filed under the name Solanum lycopersicum (tomato). RNAcentral's name for it is "long non-coding RNA (SLYC_LNC000182)". The record is from RNAcentral. Lineage: Eukaryota; Viridiplantae; Streptophyta; Magnoliopsida; Solanales; Solanaceae.